RNAcentral lists this ribosomal RNA (468 nucleotides) under uncultured bacterium. RNAcentral's name for it is "partial 16S ribosomal RNA". It matches the Rfam family "Bacterial small subunit ribosomal RNA", at positions 28 to 507 of the family's 1533-position model. The record is from RNAcentral.
GACGAACGCUGGCGGCGGGCUUAACACAUGCAAGUCGAACGGAAAGGCCCUGCUUGCGUGGGGUGCUCGAGUGGCGAACGGGUGAGUAACACGUGAGUAACCCGCCCUUGACGUUGGGAUAACUUCAGGAAACUGGGGCUAAUACCGGAGAGGAGCGCCUGCUGCAUGGUGGGGGUUGGAAAGUUUCGGCGGUUGGGGAUGGACGCGCGGCUUAUCAGCUUGUUGGUGGGGGAGUGGCUUACCAAGGCUUUGACGGGUAGCCGGCCUGGGAGGGUGGCCGGCCUCAUUGGGACUGCGGUACGGCCCAGAGUCCUACGGGGGGCAGCAGUGGGGAAUAUUGCACAGUGGGCGGGAGCCUGAUGCAGCAGCCCCGCGUGCGGAAUGCCGGCCUUCUGGUUGUGAACCGCUUUCGCCUGUGACGAAGCGUGAGUGACGGUAAUGGGUAAAGAAGCACCGGCUAACUACGUG